RNAcentral lists this ribosomal RNA (281 nucleotides) under uncultured prokaryote. RNAcentral describes it as "partial 16S ribosomal RNA". It matches the Rfam family "Bacterial small subunit ribosomal RNA", at positions 524 to 801 of the family's 1533-position model. The record is from RNAcentral.
UACGUAGGUGGCAAGCGUUGUCCGGAAUUACUGGGCGUAAAGGGCGCGUAGGCGGAUAUUUAAGUCAGAUGUGAAAACUCCGGGCUCAACUUGGAGAUUGCAUUUGAAACUGGGUAUCUUGAGGACAGGAGAGGAAAGCGGAAUUCCUAGUGUAGCGGUGAAAUGCGUAGAUAUUAGGAGGAACACCAGUGGCGAAGGCGGCUUUCUGGACUGUAACUGACGCUGAGGCGCGAAAGCGUGGGGAGCAAAACGGGGAUUAGGAUACCCCGGUAGUCCCUGAG